GCAGGGAUGGGUGUGCAGUGUACAGGGCUACGUGCUCUCUGUCCCUGUCUCCUGAGCACCCACGGUACACACCCCAGGGAAGUGGCUUGGGUCCUUGUUUUCACUAGCUCUACAUUCUAACACCUAGAGCUCUCUCCAGACUGGUGCUGAGAGCACAGGAUGUGGAAAGAGCACUGGAGUGGGAGCCACGUAGACCUGGCUUCCAGCCCAGGAGAUGUCUUUCUAUGUAUAAAGGGGGUCCUGAAGCCCUGGGGACAUCCCCUGGUAGCAGGGGAGACCAGCGUCACCCCCCAUCUCUCUUCUCUGAUGCCCUCUUGUGCACAGUGCUACAUCGAUGGGCCUUAUGGGACCCCCACCCGCAGGAUCUUUGCCUCUGAGCACGCCGUGCUCAUUGGGGCAGGCAUCGGCAUCACCCCCUUUGCUUCCAUCCUGCAGAGUAUCAUGUACAGGCACCAGAAAAGAAAGCAUACUUGCCCCAGCUGCCAGCACUCCUGGAUCGAAGGUGUCCAAGACAACAUGAAGCUCCAUAAGGUGGACUUUAUCUGGAUCAACAGAGACCAGCGGUCUUUCGAGUGGUUUGUGAGCCUGCUGACUAAACUGGAGAUGGACCAGGCUGAGGAGGCUCAAUAUGGCCACUUCCUGGAGCUGCAUAUGUACAUGACAUCUGCACUGGGCAAGAAUGACAUGAAGGCCAUUGGCCUGCAGAUGGCCCUUGACCUCCUGGCCAACAAGGAGAAGAAAGACUCCAUCACGGGGCUGCAGACGCGCACCCAGCCUGGGCGGCCUGACUGGAGCAAG
This 798-nucleotide small RNA is filed under the name Pongo abelii (Sumatran orangutan). RNAcentral describes it as "retained intron". The record is from RNAcentral. Lineage: Eukaryota; Metazoa; Chordata; Mammalia; Primates; Hominidae.